GUGAGUAAUGUCUGGGGAUCUGCCCGAUAGAGGGGGAUAACCACUGGAAACGGUGGCUAAUACCGCAUAACGUCGCAAGACCAAAGAGGGGGACCUUCGGGCCUCUCACUAUCGGAUGAACCCCCAUGGGAUUAGCUAGUAGGCGGGGUAAUGGCCCCCCUAGGCGACAAUCCCUAGCUGGUCUGAGAGGAUGACCAGCCACACUGGAACUGAGACACGGUCCAGACUCCUACGGGAGGCAGCAGUGGGGAAUAUUGCACAAUGGGCGCAAGCCUGAUGCAGCCAUGCCGCGUGUAUGAAAAAAGCCUUCUGGUUGUAAAGUACUUUCUGCGGGGAGGAAGGCGACGGGGUUAAUAACCCUGUCGAUUGACGUUACCCGCAGAAAAAACACCGGCUAACUCCGUGCCAGCAGCCGCGGUAAUACGGAGGGUGCAAGCGUUAAUCGGAAUUACUGGGCGUAAAGCGCACGCACGCGGUCUGUUAAGUCACAUGUGAAAUCCCCGGGCUUAACCUGGGAACUGCAUUUGAAACUGGCAGGCUUGAGUCUUGUAGAG
Molecule: ribosomal RNA, 554 nt
Filed under: Pantoea sp.
Lineage: Bacteria; Pseudomonadati; Pseudomonadota; Gammaproteobacteria; Enterobacterales; Erwiniaceae
Description: bacterial SSU rRNA
Rfam family: Bacterial small subunit ribosomal RNA
Source: RNAcentral